UGGGAGACUGGUAUUACGACAGGAGUCCAUUCCAAAAGAUUGAUUGCCCUUACCCCUGCAACCCAUUGCCAGAGAGUUGCUUUUGAAUGGACCUAUUAAUGUAAUGUACACACACAUAAAAUUACAGAUCUUGUGUCAAAGCAGAACAAAAUUUAAGAGUCAAGAUCAUUGAGUAGUCAUCAAUGAGCUUGACUGAGUGAGAAUAAAAUGGAUAAAGAGUAUAUGAUUGAUUGAUCAAGUCAAUGAAAUAAUUAAACAAAGGCAAACCACUGCACUCAUGUGCUGGGUGUCUUCUAUCAUUUUCUUAUGUAAUUUAUUGUUAGAACUUCAGUGAAAUAAAUAUUCAUUACUUGUUGUUGGAUUGUUUGCAGUAGAAGAUCAAUUAUUUAGAAAUCAUUUUGUUUAAUUUAGUGAGGGAGAAUGUCAAUUUGUCCCCUUCUGUAAUUAAUAUAUACCAUUUAUCCUCAUAUUGUUUUUAUAAUAUUCAAUAACCCUGAUAGCAUAAGUUCACAAUAUUGUCAUUAUUUUCAAAUACAUUUAUAUUUAUAUUUAUUAUAGAUUAAAUAAAUCGCAUAAAUAGAAAUUAAAAUGAAAAAAAUUAACUAUUAAAAACAAGAAAUAUAUAUUUUGAUAUGAACAAAAAUAAUAAUUUUUUUGCUUGUACCUUUUGAUUUUGUAAAAGUUUUCUUAUAAUAAAUAUUUUAAAAUAUUUUAAAAUUAAAUGUAAAAACUUCAAGAAAAAUAUUUUAUUAUUUAUUUUAUAAUAAUUUUUUAUUUAUCAUCAAGUUUUCUUAUAAUUAUUUUUUUAUCAUUUUAUAAUAAUUUUUGUUAUAUAUUUUUCUAUAAGAAACUGAUUAUAAAAUAAAAAAGUACAAGGAAAUAUUUUAUUAUUAGUUUUUUUCACAUCAAAACAUAUAUUUCUUAUUUUUAAUAGUUAAUUUUUUUCAUUCAUGUGAUUUAUUUUGUCUAUAAUAAACAUAAAUAAAAAUGUAUUUGAAAAUAAAGACAAUAUUGUAAACUUAUACUGUAAGGCAGUUUAUUGGCUAUUAUAAAAACAGUAGAGGAUAAAUAAUAUAUAUUUAUUACAGUAGAGAGGAAAUUGAUAAUCUCCCAAUUUAGUAAUGUCUUAAGAACCUCCUUUUUCCUUUUAACCUUUCAUAGUAAUGGACUAUUAUGUGAAUGCAUAGUUAUUUUUUAUUGCAUAAAUACCAAGUUUAAUUAAAGCUAAUAUUAUAAAAAUAAAAUGCUCUUGGAUCUUGGCAACUUUUUUUCCUUAAAAAAAUACACUAAUUAUUUAUUUUUUUAAAAUUAACUACUCUAAAAUUUUUUAUAAUUCCAGAAGUAUUUUAUGCAAUCAAUAAAAUAAGGAAAAUUGUCAUUGCCCCACCGUCCUUUUACCUUUUGUUCAGUUAAGCACACAAAAUUUUAACAUGUUCUUUGCACAAUCUUUCUUUUUAAAUUUGUAUCAAUUAGCCACUUUUACACUAACACCGUUGAAUAAUUUAAACGAAAUAAUAAUUUUACCCCUAAAUAAAUUAAAAGACCAUUUUAUCUAAUUUCUGGAUUGUCAUUUCGUUUAAAUUAUUCAACGGUGUUAGUGCAAAAAUGACUAAUUUAUACAAAUUUUAAAAGAAAGGUGGUGCAAAGAACAUGUUAAAAUUUUGUAGCGGUUAAAUGAACAUAAGGUAAAAUAAAUGUGGUGUAAUGAUAAAUUUCCAUAAAUAAAUAGUAAAAUAAAUGUGGUGUAAUGAUAAUUUUUCAUUAAAAAAAUAGUAUUUUUUUUGGGGAAAGGAACAAAUAAUAUUUUUUGAACAAAAAAAUUCAUCAAUUUGAAGUUCAAAUCAAAAUAACACUAAAAGUUCACUCUUCAUGUCUUUAAGAACAUAGAUCAAUUAUAUUACACCCCAACAUUUGAGUUCAUACUCCCAAAUAUCCCCCCCAAAAAAAAAUCAUGUGAUAGACAUCUAUCCAUAUCUUAAAUUUCAUCUUAAAUGAUGUGUCAUUCAGAAAAUUAAUUUUUUAUAAUAAUUAAAAAAUUAAUUUUUAUAAUAAAAAACCUUUCAAUAAUUAAAAAGAAAAUACCAAGAAACUCCAGCUCUUGACAUGAGCCAUAAAAAAAAAAUUAUAAUGUGCCGUCAAGAUACAUAUCUUAUUGGGUUUAAAAAUGGAGUGACCUGAUUUGUAGACGGUCCAAAUUUGAAGACGGUCCAUCCUUGGCCCACCCCACAAUUUCACCAUUGCAUACUUACAUUGACAAUGAAUACCCUUCUCUCGGGGUUUUUAAUUAAAGAUGCCCAAAAAAUGGGAUAUUUAAUUAAAUAUAUCUUAUGGUUGAAAAUUAUUCAUAUAUUUUUUUAUACAGUACAUUAUCUCAAAUAUCCUUAAAGAAAAAUAUGAAACACAUAUAAAAUAUAAAACACAUAAUUAAAGAUGCCCUAAAAAUGGGGUAUUUAGUUAAAUACCGACUAUUAUCGUGUAUUUAAAUUAAGUAUUCCUUGAAUUAUGUGAUCAUCCUAUUAUAUCACAUAAAUUGUACAAAACUAUCUUAUUGUCUUUGAAUAUUACACUUAACAAAAAAUAAUUUAACACUAUCAGUUGGAAAUACCUGACUGUAAUCUUGUGUAUAUGAAAAUACCUAAUUAUAGUUGUGUACCUAUAAAAAUACCUGACUGUAUUAAUGUAUUUUAGCCGCUCAUUCCUUCAAUAUAUAUGAACACCCUGAUAUAUAACAAACAUUAUACAAAACUAUCUUCUUUCUCAAUAAUAUACUUAACCAAAAAAAAAAGUGAAUACUGAUGUAAAAUCAUCUUUAAUGAUAUCAAAUGUCAACAACAUCCCCAUUGCAACUAUUACAUCUCAUGAUAACUAAUCAAAAAAAUGCCAAAAUCACAACAAUAGAGUUUUUAAGGGUAUGACACUAUGUAGUUGGUUUUAACGACAUGUGUCCAAAUAAUUUGACAGCCAAUGCUUUUCGAAAUUGUUUAACAUUAUCCUAUUGACAAUAUUUUUUGCCGUCAAGGCCAUGGGUUAGGACCUCCAAGUACUACAACAAAAAUGCUUCACAAUCACUACUAAUAAAAUUCAUAUACAUCAAUAAUAAAAUCACCAUUCUUAUUGAAAUAUAUAUAUAUAUGAUGUACUCAAUUGCAUCCCUUGAUUUUAUUGCGGGAUAUUACGUACUCACUAGGAUGAUCUUUAAUUAUGUCUUCCACUACAUCUAGUGAUAAUCGAUUAGAAGUCUUUGCUUUGAAGUAUUCAGAUUCCUUAAUUUUCAGUUCCAUUUAUAAACAUAAAAUAUUUUAAUUAUAAUAUAAAACGACUGAAAAGUUGCAUAAUAAUAUAUUCUAAACCAAUAAAAAAAAAUUACAUGACACACCAGUCGAGUAAAGCAAUCAUUACACGACUAUUGUCGAGCAAAACAUUCAUUACAUGACUAUAGCCGAGUAAAGUAUUCAUUACAUGAUUAUAGUCGAGUAAAGCAUUCAUUACACGACUACAACAAGCAUCAAAUAUGUUUUGACUUCUAUAUUUCCUUGGAUUUAAAUAAUUUCAUGAUAAAACAUAAUGCUUACAACAUAAAACUAAAUAAAAGCUAAAUAUGUUUGGACUUCUAUAUCUCCUUGGAUUCAAAUCUCUGUACAUAAUUUUAAGUGAAUGAUAGUAUGGAAAAGAAUUUACUUUAAUAAGGCUUGUCAAUGAAUAGAGAGAAUGAAAAUUUUGUUUAUUAUAAAAAAUAUAUUGAUGGACCAUUAAAUAGCCAAAUGGACAUUUAAUCAUUAACAUAUUAUUUGAAAUCCAUUCAAUAUGGGUAAGAAAUAACUAGAAUUGUAAAUUGAAGAUUCUAUAGCAAAUAAUAAAGAAAACCCAAAUUGCGACAAAAUGAAUGCAUACAGAGCUGAAGAAAAUUAAUAUAUAAUUCCCACGGAUGAAGUCCAGCUACAAACAACAAAUAAAAUUAAACGCAUAUCUAAUAGAUAAAUCAGUGUAGCCAUAACCGAGUAGUCACAAGGAUAAUAUUUGCUCUAUCCAAUUCCCUCUGAAUAUUUAAUUAGGAACUCCUAUAACCAUUACAAGGAGAGUAAGCUCCCUUGAAAUCACUCUCUUCAAUUUCAACUCCACAAGUUCAAGAAGCUUCAUUACAUGAAUCAGGAAGAAACAUUAUCAGCAAGCAUGCAAGUGAAACAAAUAACUCGGCUAACUACAACAAUGACCAAAAUCACGUGAGCAAUUUUUUUUUUAAACCCUAAUGCAUAUAAACCCAACAAUUAUGAAUCCUAAAUCCUCUUUAUGAAGUAAAAAUUAAGUGUAAAUGUGGUAAAUAACCUUUAAUUCGGUGAAUUUCCGGCCUAUAGUUUGGUGAAUUUCCAAUGAAAGUAGCGGAUUUGUGGUGUUAGAACCAGCAGCAGAAGUAUCCUGGGCGUUGAAAUAUUAGAUUUUGAAUUGCUGUAAUUUUGUAAUUGCACAUUGAAAAAAAGCAUAUAUGAGAACAUUUUAAUUAUGAGGGUGUAUUUAGGUAAAUACCCUACUUUUGGGGUAAGGCGUGGACAAAUUCCUGCUUCUCUCUCAAUCUCAAAAACACAACCUUCGCCCUUCGGUUGCGGUUGCAGUGUUAAUGGAUUGGAGUUUUGUACACAAAACUUGGGAAAAAUGGGCUUCUACCAGUGUUGGCUCUUCCGGUAAUGUACCCUCCAAGAACCCCCUCGGGCUUUUCAUUAUUUUAGUUAUUACCACGUUAGAUAUAUUAGAUUUAUAAUUUAUAUAAUAAAAGGCUGCUGAUCAUGCCAGUGCAAGAGCUAUAGAGUAAGCAGCCAUUGAUUUUUGUUUCUAAAUUUUGCUUGUAGGUGAGCCCUUGAAGGCGGCUUUGCUUAUCAACCAGGACCCCACUGGUCCCUCUCGUUUGUUAUCCACUAUGUCAGCUUCGUGCUUUUUUUUUUUUUUAAUAUAUAUUUUAAAUACCCUUUUAUAUAUAUGUUGUUCUGUUCAUAAGCAGUGAAAUUUUGAAGCUUCGUUAUGGUUUGUGCAGUGCAGAACAAGAAAGGUAUCAAGGCCGACGCGAUUGACUUGACUGAAUUUGUUGAUUUUGUCAAACUCAAUAAACUUCAGACUGACUGCUUUGUUAUUGGACAAAAAACCAAUGCAAGCUAUUCGUGUCUCCUUUACAUUUGUGAGUGAAAUUCAAUUGUUGGACUUGAAUUUUGCGGUGAAUUAUUUAUUAUUGCUAGAGUUGCUAGUAAGUUGAUCGUAAUGGUUUUAUCAUAUUGAUGACAAUUGACGCAGACGUAGUUACCUCGAUUCAUGAGAAUAUGACAAUUUUUAUAAGAGGAAAAGAGAGAGUCGUUCUCUUAAUCAAGAAAAAUACCAUUAAAUUUAGAAUAUAAAAAUUAAUGGCUGAAAAAUUAACAUGUGCGUGAUCGGUCAAAUAUUCUAAAUCCUUGAAAUUAAAAUAACUUGAAAAAUUAAUAUUGAAAAAAAAUAAAUGAAAUUGUCACUUUCGAUCACAUAAUCAAUGAAAAUCAGGAUAUAAUCAACACCUAUUUAUUUUAUUUCUAAAUUAUGACUUUUUCAUUAUUAUUCAAAGAAGGGAGUUUUUCUUUAAAAAACUCUCACCAUAAUAUAAGUGGCUUAAACCUUUUUUUUUGUUUUGAAAUAUAAAUUAACUUAAAAGCAAACAAGUAGUAAAAUUAUCUUUUAAGAAGGCUUUAUAUAUGCAGAGAGGACUAGUCCACCUAUGUCAAUUCUUCCAAGUGAGUGAAAUUGUGUGACUUUAUUUAAUUAGAAGGAGCAACAACUUCAAUCUCUAUUUAUACGUCAUUAUCCUUUAGCUAUAUUUGUGCGACUUUAUUUAUACGUAGGGAAAUGAGUUAACAAGUUAUAUUUUCCAAGCACCAAGGUAAAUUACUCCUUAGGUCAUUAUGGUCAAUAAAUGAGUCUUCAUUUUACAAUUAAUAAAUGUAUAAAGUAUUUGAACUAAUUAAUAGUAUAGUAUUAUAUAUGUUAAAUUCUUCAAAAAGUAAGAUAGAAUGUAUACUUGAUGUUUGAGGGAAAAAUAGGAAAGGCAAUAGAGCGCCACGUGUUAACCAAUGGAAUGAUUUCAGCACAAUCGGAGGGUACCCUGCACAAUCCGAGGUGCCCGGCAUGACUUGAGGAACACCGUGUCAUGCUAAUCCCCAAAAACACUCACACUCCAAAAAAUAGGUUUUCUUCAACCUUAAACCCUAAUUUACAGAGGGCUAGCUAGCUCUCUUUGCCAUAAAAGCUUGAGUUUGCUAACUUGAGCGUCGGAGUGUGAACGCCGGGGUACCCCGGCUUCACCUCUAACCUCUAUUUCAUUGUUUUGCAGGCGUGAAGCUCAUUUUGAAGGACACCUCUCUCAUCUCUGACCUUCCACCAUUGUUACCACUCUCUCUCCCAUUCUCACUUCCUCCGAAUUUCAGAUACACCGCACCGCACACAAUAAACUAGUGAGGUACCCCAUCUCCCCCAAAAAUAUAAAUUCAUUGUUCAAGAUUGAUUUUGGAUUUUCCUACCCCAAAACAGUUGAAAACAAUUGGCGCCGUCUGUGGGGAACUCGCACAAAAAGCCUCCUCCGCGGUUACCAAACUAGUUGUUGUGUGUACUCCAAUACAUGGCACCUAACGUACCUCCCGAAUGUUUAAUGGGGGAUCCUACAAGGAUGAGAGAUGACAUCAGCAGUGAAGGUAAUGAUCCCGCAAGGAGGGUAGCCCGCAUUAACAAGGGCAAGGGUAUCAAGCAAUCGACGGGUGUUCGCCAAGAGAAGGAACCUAUUUCGUACAAGCGUUUUGAGGAUCUCGCCCACGCAAUACUUAGGGCGGUCGGAUCUCGGUCACCCGAAAGUUCACUUCCACCAGUGACGCUAGAAGCUCCACCACCUCAAACGGACGAUCAAGCUAUAGUCAGAAGAGGGGUACCCGAGGCCAGCAAGCCAAGGCAUAGGCCUUCGGGUACCCGUUCUAAGUUUCAAACCGUGGGCUCCCGAGACGAGCGUUCCACCGCCUCUUGCAAUUCCCGCAGCAGCCAGGGUACGAGGCGUGCAAAGCAUACCCACGAGGAUCUCCGUGAGAAGUUAAACGCCAAAAGGGCUUCUCAAACGGCGGCGACAUCAUCGGGUACCCCACGAACUUGUGGAAAAAAUGGAGAAUCUGGAAGCCCAAGUGAAGCUCCUCUCCGAAAAGCAAAACAUCACAGCUGCUCUAACGCCAAUGACCUACCAAUCGCCAUUCACUAUGGAGAUUCGGAAGGCAGCUCUCCCCGAGGUGUUCGCCAUGCCUCAGAUACCCCAAUACUCGGGUACCACUGAUCCCUCGGAGCAUGCUGAGCUAUACCGCGACCAAAUGCUUAUCAAGGGUGUAGAUGAGAGCGCCAUGUGUAGGAUGUUUACACACACACUCACGGGCCCCGCGAAGUCGUGGUUUCGGUCUUUGAAAGCGGGUAGCAUAUCUUCCCUACACCAAUUGCUAUCCGAAUUUACUAAAGAGUUUUCCUACGCCUCCACUCAAGAUAGGGUAGCCUCCAAACUUGCCUUUAUCAAGCAAGGGGAAGCCGAGCCUUUGGCGGAGUACGUGAGUCGUUUCCACCAAGAGGUGCUGCGAACCGGAGCAUUUGGAAACCAAUACACAUUGACCCAUUUUGAGAAAAAUUUGCGGUUGGGCAAGUUAUGGCGUUCUUUUCAAAAGAAGCGCCCACUUUCAUAUGGGGAAGCCCGUUCCCGGGCGUUGCAGCAGGUGGAGAUGGACGAGAAAUGUCAAUUGAAGCGCCAAGAAGAUAAGGCCGAUGUUACAAAGAACAAGGAGAAGCCCAAGAGGGUGGAGGCCCCAAUACCGCGGGUACCCCGAGCACGGAGCCCUCCACGGGCUGCCUUGCGGGGACGAGGGUAUAACCCUCAGGGUGCCUCAAGGGUACCCCAACCUCCAAGAUCGCCACCAUCGAAUCAGCGAGAGCCACCGCCAAGGCCUCGGUACGAAUCUUACCACCCACUGAAUCGAUCCCCAGAGCAGAUCUUCUACCAUAUUCGGGAUAGCGGCCUCCUCUGUCCUCCUAAGCCAAUGAAGAAGUACCCCAACAUGAAGCGUAGCCUGAAGUAUUGCGAGUUCCAUGAAGACUUUGGUCACAGCACAGCCGAGUGCUUCACCUUACGAGAAGAAAUUGAAUCUUUGAUUCUCAGCGGGUACCUCAAAGAAUUUGUUGCUGGCAUGAGAGAAGCUCGGAAAUCUGCGGAACAUGAUAAAGGCAAGCGGGUAGCUGAUGGCAGUCCCGAACGAGAGGUACCCCCUGGACACAAGAAAGACGUGUAUGUCCGAAUGAUCAUGGGCGGACCGACUUUAGCGGGCCAAUCUAGGAGGGCUAUCAAAGGCUAUAGUAGAUCGUUGUCGAUAACCACCAAUAUUGGCAGAGAAGUCAACUUUAAUGAAUGGGGUACACCGAAGGUACCCCACCAUCCCCCGCCUAUCAUUUUUACAGAAAAAGAUGCGGAGGGCAUCUCGUACCCCCACGACGAUGCCUUCGUAAUCACGUUGAAGGUUGCCACUGGUAAGGUAGCAAGAACUCUCGUAGAUACCGGCAGCUCCGUUGACAUCAUUUUCAAAAGCACCUUAGAUCAACUAUUGAUUGAGUCGCCAAAGAUCACCCCCUAUGCUACGCUUCUUAUUGGGUUCGCUGGAGAUAUGGUUAUACCAAAGGGCAUCAUUACGCUGCCCGUUACAUUUGGUAAGGUACCUCACCGUGUUGUUCACAUGAUUGAUUUUCUUAUUGUAGAUCACCCGGGUGCCUACAAUAUUAUAUUGGGUAGGCCGUUCUUAGUAGCAACUAAAGCGGUGGUAUCCAUGCACUACCACGCCAUGAAAGUCCCGGCCGCCCAAGAAGUUAUCACCAUUAAAGGGGACCAGCAAUCGGCUCGUGGAUGUUAUUCCGUGGCCUCCAAAGUUACUUACCAAAUAGCUUCCGAUCCACCAAUGAAGGGGUACCCCAGCGGCAGCCAGCCCACACCUUCCCCUUCAAAGCGAGCACUUGCUAGACAGCGGAGAGCAGUACUCAAAAAAUCUCCUCAGGUAGCCCACCCACGAAAACAAUUGGAGUCUUCACCAAUGGGGGUAGAAGCAGUUACGGGGGAUAGCUCGAGGGUACCCCACAGGGACCAGGAGGAGCCUAGAUGUGAAGUUGAGGCACCUUUGGAUCCUCGAAUAUUGAAAGAUAAAAAGCGGGGUACCCUAGUUGAAGACCUUAUUUCAGUCUCGAUUUGUGCCACCGACCCAACAAAGACAGUGAAAGUAGGCUCCAACCUCUCGGAGGAACAAAGAGAGAAGCUCAUCACAUUCCUACGCGAGCACCACGAUGUAUUCGCUUGGUCCUACUCGGAUAUGCCGGGUAUCCCACCUUCCCUCUCUUGUCACAAACUCAAUGUCAGCCCGCAUAAUAAACCGGUCAAACAGAAGCGUCGCGCCUUCAACCAAGAGAGGUAUGAUGCAAUUGAACAAGAGGUAGACCGCCUAUUAGCAGCAAGGUUUAUCCGGGAAGCAGUGUACCCUGAUUGGGUAUCCAACGUUGUUCUAGUCAAGAAAUCAAACGGAAAGUGGCGCAUGUGUGUGGACUUCACUGAUUUGAACAAGUCCUGCCCCAAGGAUAGCUUCCCGCUUCCUCAGGUGGACCAGCUGGUUGAUGCAACAGCGGGGCAUGAGAUGCUUAGUUUUAUGGACGCCUUCUCCGGGUACAACCAAAUUCCAAUGUAUGAACCCGAUCAAGAGAAAACGGCUUUCAUCACCAAUCGUGGAUUAUACUGUUAUAAGGUUAUGCCGUUCGGUUUGAAGAAUGCCGGGGCUACCUAUCAACGGCUGGUGAACAAAAUUUUCAAGGAACAAAUCAGGCGCACCAUGGAGGUGUACAUAGACGAUAUGAUCACCAAAUCGGUGCAUGCGGGGGAACACUUGGGGCACCUCAGAGAUACCUUUACCGUUUUGAGAAAACACCAUAUGCGGCUUAACCCUGAAAAGUGUGCAUUCGGGGUCACCUCGGGAAAAUUUCUUGGGUUCAUGGUACAACAGCGGGGGAUUGAAGCCAACCCCGAUAAAAUUCGCGCGGUUCUUGACAUGAAAUCGCCAAGCACCAUUAAGGAGGUUCAAAGUUUGGCGGGCCGGGUAGCUGCUCUGAGCCACUUCAUCUCCAAGGCUACUGACCGGUGUAAGCCUUUUUUCAAAGCUUUGAAGACUGGCAAGAAGCUCCAGUGGACACCCGAUUGCGAAGAGGCUUUCCAAGAACUGAAGUGGUACCUCGUGAAUGCUCCACUACUUGCCAAACCUGAGCCGGGAGAGGUGCUUUUGUUGUAUCUCGCCGUAUCUGAGCAUGCCACCAGCUCUGUGUUACUCCGAGAGGAUGAUAAUGGGGUACAACGACCUAUUUACUACACUAGUAAGGCUAUGGUUGAUGCCGAAAAGAGGUACCCCACCUCUGAGAAGAUCAUUUUGGCAUUGGUGGUCUCCGCACGGAAGCUCAGACCAUAUUUUCAGGCUCACACCAUUGCGGCCGUCACCAACCUUCCCCUCCGGCAAAUCCUCCAGAAGUUAGACAUGUCCGGAAGGCUUCUCCGAUGGUCCCUCGAAUUAAACGAGUUCGACAUCAUCUUCAAGCCUCGUUUGGCUAUUAAAGCACAAGCCAUUACUGAUUUUAUUGCGGAAUUCGCCAAUGACUCAAGUGGUGAAGGUGACUUGAGAUACCUGUUAGAUACCUCACCCACCGAUGAAGGGGGGCAGGUCUGGGAAAUAUAUGUAGACGGUUCCUCUAACUCACAUGGAAGUGGUGCAGGAGUUAUUAUAAUCGACCCGAAUAAGGUGAAAAUAUGUUACGCCUUGCAAUUUGGAUUCAAGGCUUCAAACAACGAAGCCGAAUACGAGGCCAUCAUAGCGGGGUUGAGGAUGUCGAAGGCUUUGGGAGCAAAAAGGGUACACGUCAAGAGUGACUCCCAGUUGGUGGUAAGCCAAAUUACCGCACAAUAUCAAGCGAAAGAGGAAAACAUGAAAGGGUACCUCGGGAAAACCAGAGAGUUGAUGUCCCAAUUUUGUGAGGUUAAGGUGGAAAGGGUACCCCGACUGGAGAAUAGCGAAGCCGACACCCUGGCGAAAAUGGCAUCCCUUGGGGGUAGCCCAGUCAUCUGGUCCCAUCACAACAGAACAUAUACCCGCACCCAGUGUCGGUCUCCCAGAGCCAUUGGAAGUAGGAUCGCUGUCCAACGAGGUGCUUUGGAUGGAGCCUAUCAUAAGGUACCUCAAGGACGGAGACCUCCCCUCAGAUAAAAGUGAAGCAAGGAGAUUAAAGUAUAAAGUCGCCCGGUAUUGCCUGAUCCAGGAUACCCUAUACAGAAGAGGUUUCACUCUUCCUUACCUUAAAUGCUUGGGAAGCGACGAGGCCGAGUAUGUCAUGAGGGAGAUACAUGAGGGGAUUUGUGGCAAUCACUAUGGAGCACAAUCAUUGGCGCAAAAAGCCCUCCGUCAGGGGUACUACUGGCCAACUAUACGGGAAGAUGCCAAGAAUAUGGUACGAAACUGUGACAAAUGCCAAAGGUUCGCCAGGGUACCCCACCUACAAAAUGGGCGGAAGCAGAGCCACUAACAAGCAUCACAGAAAGGAAAACCACCGAAUUCAUUUGGAAAAACCUCAUUUGCAGAUUUGGAAUCCCCUAUGCAAUUGUCAGUGAUAAUGGUAAGCAAUUCGAUAAUGAAAAAUUUCGAAGCUUUUGUUCGGAGUUGGGGAUAACCAACCGAUUUGCUACACCUACUCACCCCCAAUCUAAUGGGCAAGUCGAAGCCGUUAACAAGAUUAUCAAAGGUAUCCUGAAGAAGAAGCUAGAAGAAAGAAAAGGAGCAUGGGUAGACGAGCUACCUGGGGUACUGUGGGCGUACCGAACUACUCAAAACACCUCCACCAGGGAGACCCCGUUUUCCCUCGCAUUCGGUGUUGACGCAGUGAUUCCAGCAGAAAUUGGGGUACCCUCUCACAGGGUUGAAUACUUUGAUGAGGCCGAGAACACCUCCUUGGUUGCUUCAAACCUUGAUUUAGUGGCUGAAAAAAGAGCUAGAGCAGAACUGAGGACAACCAUAUAUCAGCAUCGCAUUUCGGGUCUAUACGAAAAAAGGGUACGCCCUCGGUCAUUCAAGAAAGGAGACUUGGUCUUGAGAAGGGUAACUCAGAACACUAGGGUACCCUGCGAAGGCGCUUUUGGGGCAAAUUGGGAAGGACCUUACCGCAUCGACAAACCCGUUGGGACAGGUGCAUACAGGCUACUCCACAUGGAUGGCACAAUUGUGAGGCACCCCUGGAACGCUGCAAUGCUACGGAAAUAUUACUAAAGGACAGUGUCUCAACCUUUAGUCUUUUGCUGUUAUUUGCUUUCUUUAAUGUUUUUGUGUGGUAGGCCAAAUAGGGUACCCCAAAUGCCCUAUGUUGGUCAGUUGCAACUUUAGAGUUUCUUUAAUUGUCAAAUGAAAGGGAUAGGAGGUCUUGCGGUCUCCCAUUCUCCUCAGGGUAACAAAGCUAAGUCAUGUAUUGAUCAACGCUUUCGUUAUCUAUAAAUGCAUGUUCUUUCUCAACAAAUAUAAUGUGGGUUCUUUAUUUAUUUUUCUCUACUUCGAUCUUAGAGUGCGGAUUAUAUUCAUUUAUCGCCAUUAAUAUACCCUCGCAUCUGGUAAUAUGCAAUUCUCACCAUACGUUUGUCAAUUAUGACUAACAUAUCGCAGGACCAGCCAGGGUACCUGAUAUGCCCAGAUCGUGACGAUCUAUGUAAACCCAAGAUGGGCAACGGAGGGAACAGCCCGGGGGUAGCCUUUCUGCGGAAGCAUGAUAAAGCUACCUAAACAAAGAGAGGGAGGGUCAGAGAGGACCCGAGGGUGAAGAAAAACCGGCAUACCCUAGCGGCACGAAGUUCGGCUUAGGUAUGAGAACACCCACACCUCCGUCCUCGUACUUUUGCAAAGUAUGGGGUAAGCUAUUCAAAAAAUUCGGAGAAAACUUCGAAAGAAUAAGAAAGUGAUUGGUUGGACCAAUUGCGCUUUCAACGUUUGAUCGAGAUGUCGCGAUGAUAUUUUGAUUACCUAUUUGUGGGGAAUCUGCCAUAGUUUCCGAGAAGGACAUGCACCACAUUUUUAGGGAAUCCGCCUGAUGUUGGAUAUUUGUUAAGGUACCAGGGGUACCCCAUUUCAAAAAAAAAAAAAAAGAGGUACCCUAGACAUUUACAAGGUAACAGUUUAGUCAAGCAUUCAUUUGCAGAAUAACAAGCAUGCAAAGUACAAGAGAACUCGAUGGCAUGGUAUCAUAACAAAAGAGAAGUCCCAAUAAUACAAAAUAUCUCGAGAAACCAAAAAGAAAGAAACAAGGUCCAAAUAGCAAAAUGUGGAUAGGUCCGAAAAAAAAAAAAAAACAAGAGCACAGUAAGAAGGCUACACCGAGGGGGGAACGACAUCCCCAACAUCCGUCUCCAGAGGGCGAUCAGUAGAGGACUCCGAGGUACCCGGAAUAUGAGCAGCCGAACUAGGGGCAUCCGAAGCAGGCAACGGCUGAAGCUGAUGGGGUACCCGAGGCGACCCGGAGGGGGUACCCGACCGUGCCUGGGAAGGCUUCUUCCUCUCUGCAAUUGUCUUCAGAAUCGUAGCCUUGUUGACAAAUUUCUGCACCCGGGGUACCUCCAACUCCGGAUCCACACUCCACACCUCCGUCAUGAUGAGUGAGAAUGCAUCCUCUGCCAUCGUCUUUUGCCGAGAUAGCAGAUCCCCGUUGGUGGCCCUCAACUCCUCACAGUCCUUCUCCACCUUAGCUUUCUCUCCCGACAGGCCAGCAAUGCGUUCUUGCAGAGUUUUAACUUCUCGAGCAAGCUGAUCCUCGUGAGACUGACGGCUUUGGAGCUCACCCCUUAACUUGUCGACCUCUGACUGGGCGGCAACGAGAGAGUCAAGGUCUGGAAGGCAGUGGCUGAGGAGAAAAGAUGCCUGCGGGUCAUAAAAGACACGUUAAAUAUAUACGUGUGGCAAUAGGAUCAAGUAAAAAAAAAUUUUUUUUUGAAGGGUACACCCGGGGUACCCCGGGAAAGCCUACCUCUUGGGUAGCCCUAAGUGCUUGACCAUAGCGUUGGCUCAAACUCAUCUUGUCAGUCUCCUCAGCAACCUCGGAGGUAACAUUUUCAGCGGAGUAGUAGAAACAGCGAGCCAAGUGCGAAACCUCCUUGUUGGAAGCCGGGUCUAGGUCAUUUUCGCGCAACUCCUCAGGGAAAGCGGAAACCAGCCCGAAUUUUCUCUUCUUCGAGCGAGGGGUACCCUUCGACCCGCUGUGGGAGGUACCCUGAGACUUCCCCUUCGGACCGGGAGCUCGAGGAGGUCGGGAGCCUUUCGGGGGUACCGCCGAAUCCUGAGAUCCGGAAGCACCGCCCACUACCGCCUGGAAAAAGGCGUCGAAAGCGUCACCCGUCGAUUCCAUGACUGCACCCAAUGCACAAAAGUUAUGUUAGCUGGACAAGUACUAAGUACUGCAAAAGUAAAAAAUAGGAAAUGGAAAGCGGGGACGCGAAACGAAGAAUGCAAUGCUAAUGGGGUACCCCAGUCCCAUAAGUAAUAAUAGGAUACCCCCCGACACCCAAAUCAUACAUGAGUUACCCCCAGGAGCAGGCGGAGGACUUCGGUCAAUCAGCCCCGCUCUCCACAAUCGGCUCUCAUCUAGCACAUCACUACCCCUCUGUGCACCUCGAAGCCUGUCCACAAACUUCUUCACCUCUCUCCCCACCUCCUGAACUGGGCAUGAUCCUUUAGCCCAUGUCACACCUGCGAAAGCAUAAAGAACUCAAGGUUAGCGAGACAUUCAGGCGAAAGAUUCCGAUAAAGAACCAUAAGUAAGGGAGAUACUUACAGUCUACAUUGAAGGAAUAAGGAACCUCCACGGGGUCGCCCUUCUCACCCAGAGUCUCUGCCCCCCACCUACCCUCAGCGACAAACCAUCCCUUUCGGUAACUCUUCUUCAAGGCGGGGUUCCCCUCAACGAUGUGGCCAUGAUCACCCUAGGGGGAGAAGUAAGCAAUGCCGGGACCCUUAGGUUUCUUGAAUUGGUAAAGGCCCCUCAACUCCCGAACAGAAAUGUCGCGCUUCACGACCUCCAACCAUAACACAUGUAAGCCCGUCAGUGUCCUCCACCCUGGAAGAGACAGCUGCCCAGGAUCUACCCCCAAAUAACUAAACAUUUUCAUAAAGAAUGGUUGGAGGGGCAGGCGGAGUCCUAGAUCGAAGAGGUCGAUAUGGAGAGCAAUCCCAUCAGACUGUGGACACUCGGGUCUCUCAUCCACAUGGGGUACCCUGAGCUGGACAGACGGAGGAAUAUUGUAUUUGGCUCUAAUUUGCUCUAAGUCCCCCAAAGUAGCCCUCUUAAUGCUUAGGGAAAAAGGGUUGCUAGAUUUUGAAGGUGUGGCAGGGGGAGAUUUAGGCGGCUGGUCCGAGGAACGAGCUGGAACCUUAGGCUUGGUUGACUUACCCUUCUUUCGAGGAUUGGGGGUAGGCCGUUUACUAGGAAAGCGUGGGCUGACACGAGGGGUACUCCUAGAGGGAGGGGGCUCAGAACGAGAAUUACAAUUCUUGGAGGAACUAGGAGGGGACCGAUCCCCCUCACUAAUGGAGAUGUGGGAAGGGGAAUCCGCAGGAGGGCUGUCAACCCUACUAGCCCCAACUUUACGUCGCUUCAUCACGGGUCCCGUGUGUUUCUUACCCAUCUACUUUCCCCCAACAAUACACCCAACGAUACACCCAACAACACAUCCACAAGCCCCCAACAACACAUCCAACAAGCCACAUGUUUUCCCAACAGCAACAUAUCCAUACCAAGCACUAUCCAUCACACAUCAACCACCAAAUGCAAACACCAACCAACAAAAAAAACAAAAACAACAAAAACAAAAAUAAAUUUUUCUCAGAGUAUGCAAAAUAGCGCCACUGUGAAUGCGCCAAAAGAAGAGAAACAAGGAGGGAUACCUAUGAUUCACCAAUUCGACAGAUCAGGAUUGACAAUCGCGGGGAGACGAAGCUGCAGGCAACCAAAAACAGUGGGUAAAAUAUGCAAGUAUAAAAAUAAAGAAUAAAGCUUAAAUAUAUGUACUUAUUUAUAAAUAAGUAAAUAAAUAAAAUGAAGAACGAAGAAGCUGCAAUAACCGGCGUCGGCUGUAAUGGCUGCAACCACCGAGAACCGACGUCGACCACCGCAUCCACCGAACCGACGCCGAUCGCCGCAGCUGCCGCCACCAAGAAGAACUGACGCUGGAAAAAUGCAAAGGAGGACGUCGGCCGAAAAAAAAAAAAACUGAGAAGCUGCAGCCGCUAAACUAACUCCGGAAACCACCAAACCGACACCGGCUGCCACGGCUGCAGCCACCGAACCGACGCCGGCCGCAACCACACCAAACCGACGCCGGAAAUCACAAAGAAAAACACAAGCCGAAACGAAAAAGAGAAAAGAAAAAAAGAGAAGAAAAAGAGAGAAGACAAGGGAAGGAAGAGAGAAAGCACCAAGGGAAAAAUGAAGAAACGAUGAAGGAGGGGUUACCGUGUGUAUCGCCGGACUGAGAUCUCGCCGUGAGCCGCCGGAAAUCGCCUUGAACCGACCAGAUCUGGAGCCCAAAACCGCCACUGCAGCAGCCGCGAUCCACGCCGGAAAACGUACUAGAUCAACGCCGGCCGAGAGAGAAAGAGAAAAAAGAAUGAAAGAAAAGGAAGAAGGAAAAGAGAGAAAAAGGAAGGAGAAACGUGAGAAAGAAAAGGGAGAAAGAAAAUGGGAAAGAAAGAAAACGGAAGAAGAAAGAAAUAAAAGAAAAAGAGUAAAGGGAGAAUAGAGCCUAGGGAAGAUGAACGAGCGUAAAUUUAUUAAUUUCGUUCUACUAAUUUAAGUUAAGUUUAUUGAGUAUUCCAGUUAUUUUAAGCUAAAAUGGACAUUUUCAUAAUUUUAUCACAUAAUCAAACGAAUAAGUGUAUAUUUUAAGAUGGUAAAGAUAGUCAAUAGGUAAACUUAAAGGAAAAACUAAUGGCAAGGUUGGUUUAAUGAGUUUUCAAAAUAUUGGUGGUGGAAUAACGAUAAUUAAUUUAUUUAGGUGUGCAAUUGAAUUUUGAUAUGUACUAGUGGUGCAAAAAAAUAAUAAAUUCAAGUUGAGUCAAAGGCAUGGUAAGAACGCAGACUCCCCAAAGCCCACGACAUAGAUUAUCUAAUGAUUUUUUUAAUUUAUAAAAUUAAAAAAAGAGUUAAUGUUGACUUCGUUUUACCCCAAAAAAAAAAAAAAGUAUGACACUAUUAGGCAUCAAUUUCAAAAUAACGCGGUUUGAUCAACUCCAAUUUAUGAUGUUAUUAUCAAAUGAUAAAUUUUUCUAAUUUUUAGAAGUCGUUUCUUAUCAAAUAAUCAGGGAUUGAAAUAAAUAGCAUAAAAUAACAAAAAUAAGAAAGUUAAGUUGAUGUCCACUGAUUUGUGUAAGUAAAAAGUUUGACUCUUAAAAAGACAUUAAUUUCAUGAGAGACAAUAACGCCAUUUUGAUCCUCUCUAUAAUUAAUGAUGUUAUUUUCAAAUAACAAAAUUAUCUAGCUUUUGGAAAUCUUGGAGAGAAACUAAUUUGGUCGGUUUCUUGAUUAAUGAUUUGAUGGUCAUCGAAUAAUGCAUGACUUGGAAAGAUCUUCCCCCGUUCUUCAAGUUAUUAUUUGACUUUGUUAGUAAAAGGCCUAUCAGAAAGGUUUUUAAAUUCUGGUCUUCUGAGAUUAAAUUAAGUCACAGUUUAAGUUAUCUCAAGAAUAUGGGUUUGGUCAAAUUUUUCUCAGUUAUCUCAAUAUUGUUGCUAAUUCAUUGGCUAAUCAAAGACACAGUUGCAAAAAUUCCUCUUGGAGAAAAUUGAGGAAAAUCUUCUUGAAGAUGGCUAAAUUAUAAAAAGAUAGUACAUGGUGGCCGGACGGAUUAUAAAUUAAGUAAAUAUAUCUAACUUCUUUAAAAUUAAAGCUUCAUAAGACAUAACUAAUGCUCUGUAUGAUUUUAUUAUUGGCUUCCGAAAUUGCACGAUAGGACAGCUGAAAGCAUUUUCCAUUUACUACUUCUUCGAAUUGACUGUUAGGAAAUUGGUAAGUGAAGCAGGAUCGCAACUAAAAUAAAAUUGGAAGAAAUAAAGAAUAAGCACAAAAGAGAAUACCAGAAAUAACAUAGUUCAGCUUUUAGCCAACGUCCACGGGCGAAAAUAGAAGGAAAUAUUUUAUUAGUGAAAUAAGGAUUACAAAUGUUGUAAUAUUUUGGCUCACUACCCAAAACCCGAAUACACCCAAUCUCUCACUCACUAAUUACACAAGAGCAUUAAAACUCUUAAUCUCUCACACAAUUCUUUCUCUUUUACAAAACAGAGAAGAGAAACUUAAGGAAAAAAUGGAAUGAAUUUGCUCAUUCUCUUCGUUUCUAUUUAUAGAGAAAGCUUUGGCACUAUUCAUCAAUUAUAUAUUAUUUUUUUCUUUAGACAGCACCUCCCAUUUUUUUUUCUUUCUUUCUUUCUUCUUUUUCUUCUUUCUCUUUUAUUUCCUUCAAUUUGAUUUUGGCUAGGCCACCACCAGCUUUGACAUUUCUCCCGCUUGGAGAUUUGAUUGAGAAUCAAUCAAUCCCCACACCAUCUUUUCUGCUUCGCCAUAAUCAUGUUACCUACGUUUCUGCUAGGCCACAAGAAGAUCUAGUCCAGACAAACUUAUCAGUAUUUAUCGGCUUAGUCAAAACAUCUGCUAGGUUCUCCUUCGUAUGGAUGUUCUGUAAAUCCACAUUUCCGUCUUCCACUACUUCUCGAACGAAGUGAUACUGAACUCCUAUGUGCUUUGUCCUGGAAUGAAAGGCUGGAUUCCUUGCAAUGUGUAAGGCACUCUGACUGUCACAAAACAUAGAAAUUUUCUCUUGUUUGUGCCCGAGCUCCUCCAAUAACCUUUGUAUCCAAAUAACUUCCUUACAAGCUUGUGUAGCUGUCAUGUACUCUACUUCUGUUGUAGAUAAAGCCACAACAGUCUGCAGUUUUGAAACCCAGCUUACAGCUGCUCCCGCAAAUGUAAACACAUAACCAGUAGUGGAUUUUCUUUUGCUCAAGGAUUUUCUUUUAUCAAGAUCUCCUGCAAAAUCUGAAUCCACAUAGCCCCUGACAGUAAAUUCUGAUCCUCCAUAACAUAAUGCAACAUCUAAGGUUCCUCUGAUGUAUCUCAGAAUUCUCUUCACAGCUAUCCAAUGUUCUCCACCCGGAUUUGCCAUGUAUCGACGGACUGCUCCCACUGCUUAUGCAAUGUCCAGUCUAGUACAUAUCAUAGCGAACAUCAAACUUCCCACUGCUGAUGCAUACAGUACUCGAGACAUUUCUUUCCUCUCCGCUUCAUUGCUAGAACACAUACUUGAAUAUAAUUUGAAAUUAACAAGAAGUGGGGUAGAAAUUGACUUACAAUCUUGCAUGUUGAAGCGCCGCAAGAUUUUCUUCAAGUAAUUCUUCUGCGAAAGCCAAAUUUUCCUGUUAUUUUUGUCUCGGUGAAUUUGCAUCCCUAUAAUCUUGUUUGCUGGUCCCAAGUCCUUCAUUUCAAACUCCCUAGCCAACUGUGCCUUCAAUUCUUGGACUCGAUCUUUGUUGGGGCCUGCUACCAACAUGUCAUCCACGUACAACAGUAAAAUAAUGAAAUCAUUAUCUUCAAACCUCUUAUAAUAUGCACAAUGAUCUGAACUGAGUCUAUUGUAUCCAAGGCUUAUAAUGAAGGAAUCAAAUCUCUCAUACCAAUAUCUCGGCGCCUGUUUGAGACCGUAUAGAGAUUUGUUCAACCUGCAAACCAAGUUCUCCUUUCUUUUUUUAUGCAAAACCUUCUGGUUGGAGCAUAUAUAUUUCUUCUUCAAGUUCUCCAUAAAGAAAUGCAGUUUUCACAUCUAACUGCUCUAGAUGUAGGUCAAAUAUAGCACACAUUGUCAACACUACUCUGACUAUUGUGAGUCGAACCACCGGUGAAAAUAUCUCGUUGAAAUCAAUACCUUCUUUCUGAGCAUAUCCUUUCACCACCAAUCUCGCACGAUACCGCUCCACUUGGUCAUUGCCAUCACGUUUGAUCUUGUAGACCCAUUUAUUUCCAAUGGCUUUUCUUCCACGUGGUAGUGGUACAAGUUCCCAUGUCUUGUUCUUGUGUAGAGCUUCAAUUUCUUCCUGCAUUGCUGUCAUCCACAAAGCAACAUCUGAGCUUUCUAAAGCUUCAUAGAAAGUUGAUGGCUCUCCAUCUUCUAUUAGAAGACAAUAUGCAACGUUGAUCUCUGUGACAUACUCUGAGUGCCACGUUGGUGGUCGUCUCUCACGAGUUGAGCGACGAAUUUCUUGAGCCUCGGACUCGACUAGUUCUUGUUCCUCGUGCUCUGGUGCUGCUUCAGAAGAAUCUGAAUCUUCUGGAUUAUUUUCGACAUAUACCGGCACAAUCCCUGACUUUUCUUUUACAGUGCUAUCACCUCCAUCUUUCAUUUGCAGUUGAUCUUCUACAAAAAUAACAUCUCUGCUGAUGACGAUCUUGUGGGCAGUGGGGUCUCACAGACGAUACCCCUUUACUCCAUCAGCAUAUCCCAAGAAGAUACAUCUUUUAGAUUUUGUAUCCAGCUUUGUUCUUUCUUGGGCAUUGUACAUCACGUACACAGGACAUCCAAAUACAUGUAGGUAGGAAUAAUCAGCUGGCUUUCCAGUCUACAUCUCCAUCGCUAUCUUCAGCCCAAUAACUGUAGAUGGCUAUCGAUUUACUAUAUAACAGGCCGUUUUGGUUGGUUCUGCCCAGAAUGAAUUGGGUAAAUCAGUAGUCUUCAACAUAGCUCUUAUUUUUUCUGUAAGAGUUUUGUUCAUCCGCUCCGCCACUCUGUUUUGUUGAGGAGUGUAUGCCACCGUGAACUGCCUCUAAAUAUCUUUUUGCUUACAGAAAGCAAGAAACUCACCGUCUCUAUACUCUCCAUCAUUAUCCGUCCUCAAGCACUUUAUCUUUUUACCAGAUUCAAGUUCCACCCGCGCUUUGUAUUCUUUAAACACUAGAAAUACAUCUAACUUUUUCUUAAUUGGAUACACCCAACAUGUUCUGGAAUAAUCAUCAAUGAAAGUCACCAUGUACUUUGCACAUCCCAUGGAUAUAUCCAGUGAUUCCCAAACAUCAGAAUGAAUCAAGUUUAGAAUGUAUUUACUUAUAGCAAUAGAUCUACUGAAUUUUAAUCUAUGCUGCUUACUUGUAACACAAUACUUGCAAAAUGGUAAACUUACCGAUUUGAGCCCCAGAAGCAAUUUUCGCUCAGAGAGAAUCUUCAAACCUUGUUAUGAUAUGUGGCCAAGUUUGAGAUGCCACAUCAUCGUUGACUCUUCUCCAUUUGAUGCGACACACGCAUCAGCCUCCUGUAGUGUUUCUUAUUUAAGCAUGAAUAGAUUAGCACCGAUCUUUUCUGCCUUCAUCAAUACAAGCGCUCCUUUAACAAUUUUCAUAAUUCCAUUCUCCACAUGAGUUUUGUACCCAUGACUAUCCAUUUGUCCCAAAGACAAUAGAUUUUUCUUCAAGCCGUUGACAUGUCGUACCUCCUCAAUUGUGCGAAUUGUACCAUCAAACAUUUUUAUUUUGAUAGUACCAGUACCAGCGAUCUCCAAGGCAUGAUCAUCUCCCAUAUAUACAAAUCCUCCUGAAAUAGGUUCAUAUGUGUGGAACCAUUCUCUCCGAGAGGUCAUGUGCCAGGUAGCUCCUGAGUCUAUAAGCCAGACAUCAGAUAGUCGUUUUCUGCCUUCUGAAAUAGUUGUUGCCUCGCUGUAGAGAAUUUCGCCAUCAUUUGAGGUACUUGCUACACACCCCUAAGCAUUUGAUGACUCAGGUUCUUUAACCUCUCUUAUCUUCUGGUUACUCCAACACUCCUUUUUGACGUGCCCUUUCUUGUCACAGUUAUAUCAUUUAACAUUCUUCUUACUUCUGGAUUUUAAUCUACCAUGAUUUUGACUCCCACUGAGGCCACAUUUCGUUGAUCUCCCUCUCGUCACCGAUAGCGCCUCUGCUUGCUGUGAACUUGCUUGUCUGUUUUCUUUAUUUUUCUGCCUGCUCUCCUCAUUUAAUACGGAGGCUGCAAAAUCAUCGAAAACUAUACUGUCCAUUGGAUUGUUGUUCGUCAGGUUGAUGAUGAGUUGAUCAUACGAAUCUGGUAGACUUUGAAGUAGAAGCUCUGCACGUUCAUUUUCCUCUAUAUUAUGACCGAACGUUGUGAGUUGUGAAAAUAGAGUCUUCAAGGUGUUGAUGUGGUCGGUCACCAUUGUAGAUUCCGCCAUUCGAAGAAUAUAGAGUUUUCUCUUCAAGAAGAUUUUGUUGUGUAGUGACUUGGCCUCGUACAAUUUUGUGAGAGUAUCCCAUAUUUCCUUUGUUGUACUUUUCUCUACCACACUGAAUAAUACUCCAUCUGCAAGUGCCAAGUGUAGAUCAGAAAUGGCGUUGCCAUCUAUCUCGUUCCACUUGUCAUCAGCUAUCUCCAUGGGCCUUUCUCCAAUUGCUGCCAAGCAAUUAUUUUUCCUCAAUACAACUUUUAUCUUCAUUUUCCACAACGAAAAAUUAUUUCCGUUAAACUUCUCAAUUUUAUACUUUGCCGCCAUUUUGUUGAUAAAUAUCGCACACAAGUUAGUGUACCACCUUGAAUAGUUGUGAGUAUGUGUGAGAAUUCACACCAGGAAAGUUCCCAGGAAAGACUGGAGGGGUCACAAUGGUCCCACUUAAAACCCAGACUCCUUAAGCUCUUAUCGCCUUUGUGACAGAACUUUCCUAGACAUGUACAAAAACCACACAGUUGUUUUACUCACACCACUAUUCCCUGCUUUGCAUCGCAAAAUUCUUGGACCGCUCCCACCGUUUCAUGUGAAUAGUACAGUAUACGUGAAUUGUACAGUAUAUGUGAAUAGUGUCAUAUACGUGAACAGUGCCAUAUACAUGAAUAGUACCCCCUUACGUGAACAGUACCAGACUUAAAAAAAAUACAACCAAUAGCUCUGAUACCACUGUUAGGAAAUUGGUGGGUGAAGCAGGACCGCAGCUAAAAUAAAAUUGGAAGAAAUAAAGAAUAAGCACAAAAAAGAAUACCAGAAAUUACGUGGUUCGGUUUUUAGCCUACGUCCACGGGCGAAAACAGAAGGAAAUAUUUUACUAGUGAAAUAAAGAUUACAAAUAUUAUAAUAUUUUGGCUCACUACCCAAAACCCCAAUAUACUCAAUCUCUCACUCACUAAUUACACAAGAGUAUUAAAACUCUUAAUCUCUCACACAAUUCUUUCUCUUUUACAAAACAGAGAAGAGAAACUUAAAGAAAAAAUGGAAUGAAUUUGCUCGUUCCCUUCGUUUAUAUUUAUAGAGAAAGUUUUGGCACUAUUCAUCAAUGAUAUAUUUUUUUUUCUUUAGACGGCACCUCCCAAUUUUUUUUCUUCUUUCUCUUUUGUUUCCUUCUUUUUUGUUUCCUUCUUUGGGCUGCUGCCAAAGCCAUGUUUAUUUCUUUGGGCGGCUGCCAAAGCCAAUUUGAUUUUGGCUAGGCCACCACCGGCUUUGACAUUGACUAGUAUCAUCUUCCUCGAUGGUACACUAGAACGCAUUCUCCAUUGCUAUUUAUUCAAAUGCACUAACCUGGGCUUCUUUUGCAUUGUGUUUAAACUAGUCCCAUUUUAAGGGGUUUUUUUUUUCUCCUCUCUAUUCUUUUCCCUAUUUCAGGUAAUAACAAGUGAAUUAGUUAUUCCGCCGUUGUUGUUCCUUUUGAUAUAUUCUUUCACAUGGGGUUGUUCAUUUUUCUUGUUUCUUGUUCUUUUUGGAACUUCCAUUGAAGCAAGUAAAGUCAUUUUACUUAUAAGCUGCUGCAAGCUGUUAAAAAAGAUGGCAAUUAAUUAGUUUCUCAUUUUCUUGUUGAUGAAGCCUGUAUAUGAAUAAAUUACGCGCUAGCUUGUCAUUUUGUUAUUAAAACCUUUAUAUGGCAUGUUCUGCUUUCUGUUUUCUAUUUUUUUUUUGUGAGAAAAUUUUCUAAAUACUUAAUUUUUCUUUUUCCCCUGAAUAUCUACAGAAUGAUUGCUAGAACAACGAUGGGCCAAUGGUUCAAUCUUUUAGUAUGUGCACUCUUAAUACUGAAAGCUCAAGCAUGCUUUAAUGUAUCAAUCACCUAUGUUGAAGAUGCUGUAGCGAAAGGAGCUGGUGGGGAUUAGUACAUAUUUAUAUUGAUGCUUCAUUUUGUGAUUUUCCGUUACUGCGUACUGUAGUUUGUUAGCUGUUUAAUAUGUUUUGCAGUCUGUUUGGAUGGCAGCCCACCUGCUUACCAUUUUGAUAAGGGGUUUGGUGCCGGGAUCAAUAAUUGGUUGGUGCACAUUGAUGUAAUGUCCUCCUCUAUGUAAAAACAUUUCUUAUAUUCACUGCAACUUUAAAUGAUAUGGAUGAAGAGUAAUCAGUCUUACAUAUUAUAGUCAUAAGAAUUCUGGUGAUGUUUACAUUUACCAUUCAUGCUUGUAUUCAUCAUAUACUUUUUUGUUGAUUCAAUUUGCCUUUGGCUUCGGGUUCUUAGGGAGGAGCAUGGUGUAACAAUGUCGCAGAUUGUUCUAACCGAAGGGAUUCCUCACAUGGUUCAUCUAAGUAUAUGGUGAAGGAAGCUAAUUUUACUGGGAUACUAAGUAAUGAGCAGAAAUUUAACCCAGGUAUGACCUUUUUGUGUCGCUUAUUGAUUUGAUUGAUGCAAAUCAAUAAAUUCCCCUUUCCAUUUCUAGACUUCUACGAUUGGAAUAGAGUCAAGGUUAGAUACUGCGAUGGGGCAUCGUUUACUGGAGACGUAGAGGCUGUCAAUCCAGUAAGUUAACUUUUGCCAAAAUUUUCUUAUAUACAUAUUCUUGGGUUCUCUCGUGUGAUAUUUAGUUAGUGAUUUGAUCAGGAAACUAACCUUCACUUCAGAGGAGCAAGGGUUUUUGAAGCUGUCAUGGAGGAUCUAUUGGCUAAAGGAAUGAAAAAUGCUCAAAAUGUAAGAUCAUUCUGUUUUUGUUUUUAAAAAUAUGUUCAUUAGAUUGAUAUGUUUGAUAACUCAUUCGCACUUAUGACAGGCUAUACUUACUGGUUGUUCCGCUGGGGGUUUGACUUCGAUUUUGCAUUGCGAUAACUUCCGAGCUCUCUUUCCCGUUGAUACUAGAGUAAAAUGCUUUGCAGAUGCUGGCUAUUUUGUGAAUGUGUAAGCUCCUGUUCUUUCAUCAACCAUGAUGUGGCAGUUGCUUCAGUUGUUUUUCUUUUCCGAAAUCUGAUUCCCUGGUGUAUUUUUCAAUAGGAAGGAUGUUUCUGGAGCAAGUCACAUUGAGGAGUUUUAUAAACAAGUGGUCGCAUUACAUGUACACACUCUGUCUCUCAUCCUCUUUCAUGCUUACCGACACAAAAUAAUGUUGUUACAUCUUGUGUAGGGAUCGGCUAAGCAUUUGCCAGCAUCCUGCACUUCGAGAUUAAGUCCAGGAUUGGUGAGUUCCACCAUUUUAAUGUUUCUACGUUCUAGUCUUCAUCCAUUCGUUUAUGGACUGACCGAUUCCUUUUAAAAUGACAGUGUUUCUUCCCACAAAACGUAGCAGGGCAAGUCAAGACACCGCUAUUUAUCAUCAACUCAGCUUAUGAUUCAUGGCAGGUUAGCAUAGUUCUUCAAUGUCUAAGAUCCAAUGACAGAAAAUGUGAUACAUAAGCUUAGUGCAAGAAGAUAAUUUUUUGUACUUAAGUGACAUAUCAAGUGAAGCUUGAUUCUUGGGCCUUCUUGCACAAGCAAAAAGAGACUGGUGGAAGAUUGGCACAUUUUUGAUAUGUUAUAUUCGAAGCCACUGAAUAAUUUCAAUAAAUUAUGUGCAAUUUCAAUCUGGUAAUAUUGUUACAAGCGGAAAAUGGCGUGCACAGAUAAGGAACAUUUUGGUUCCGGACAAUGCUGAUCCGAAAGGAACUUGGAGGCGCUGCAAGAAGGAUAUAAAAAUGUGCUCAUCUACUCAGCUGCAAACUAUGCAAGGUAAUUCCCCAAAGCCCCGGAUUACUGCUUUCCACAAAAGACCUUUUUCAUUUUAUUGUUGAUAAUUCAAAGUGUCAAUUCUCGUUGUAUACUUUUCAGGUUUUAGGGUGCAAUUCCUGAAUGCAUUGGCCGGACUUGGCAACUCUUCAUCCAGAGGAAUGCUUAUAGACUCUUGUUAUACUCACUGCCGAACCGUGUUUCAGGAGGCUUGGUUGAGUGCUGACUCUCCGGUGCUGGAUAAAACGGUACGAGUUAUGAUUUCAUCGUUUUGACUUGUUUCCUUUAACAUCUUGAAGUACCAUUGAUUCCCAUUUUUAAGGAUUGAAAAUAUGUUCUACGCAGCCUAUUGCAAAGGCAGUGGGAGACUGGUAUUACGACAGGAAUCCAUUCCAAAAGAUUGAUUGCCCUUACCCCUGCAACCCAUUGCCAGAGAGUUGCUUUUGAAUGGACCUAUUAAUGUAAUGUACACACACAUAAAAUUACAGACCUUGUGUCAAAGCAGAACAAAAUGUAAGAGUCAAGAUCAUUGAGUAGUCAUCAAUGAGCUUGACUGAGUAAGAAUAAAAUGGAUAAAGAGUAUAUGAUUGAUUGAUCAAGUCAAUGAAAUAAUUAAACAGAGGCAACCACCGCACUCAACUUAUGUGCUGGGUGUCUUCUAUCAUUUUCUUAUGUAAUUUAUUUUUCUUAUGUAAUUUAUUGUUGUAACUUCAGUGAAAUAAAUAUUCCAUUUCUUGUUGUUGGAUUGUUGGCAGUAGACGAUCAAUUAUUUAGGAAUCAUUUUGUUUAAUUUUAGUAAUGUCCUAAGACCA
RNAcentral lists this long non-coding RNA (26828 nucleotides) under Citrus maxima (pomelo). RNAcentral's name for it is "long non-coding RNA (CMAX_LNC001487)". Lineage: Eukaryota; Viridiplantae; Streptophyta; Magnoliopsida; Sapindales; Rutaceae. The record is from RNAcentral.